Molecule: non-coding RNA, 233 nt
Organism: Pelobates cultripes (western spadefoot toad)
Lineage: Eukaryota; Metazoa; Chordata; Amphibia; Anura; Pelobatidae
Source: the annotation of a GenBank genome assembly
CAUCAUGGGAACUGUAGUUCAUAAACGUGUGGGGCCCAGGUUAGCUAUUGCUGUUUAGUUGGUAGAAAGAAUGUAAGAUAUGGUCAGUGAUCACCACACAGAAGAAGGUAAAAUGAGCAUGUGUGCGAACGACAGACCGCACGUAGGGGAGUUAACAUCACUAUAUAAAUGGCAGAGCUGUUCAGCUAUUACUGUAUAUGUACUAAUUUUAAUUUCCCUUUAAUAUAUUCCCG